CACCAGGUUGAUUCUGCCUGACGUAGAGGCUAGACUCAAAGAUUAAGCCAUGCAUGUUCGCAAUCAACAGCGACAGACGGCUCAGUAAUUCUGCGAUGAUUUGCACUGGCAGGGAGAAUGACCAAUGAAACCAUUGGCUAAGAUGUCAGUUUAAGACGCAGGCCCAUCAGUUAGUUGGUAGUGUAAUGGACUACCAAGACGAUCACGGGUAACGGGAAAUUAGGGUUUUAUUCCGGAGAGGGAGCCUGAGAGAUGGCUCCCACGUCCAAGGACGGCAGCAGGCGCGAAAAUUGCCCACUCUUUUUAGAGGAGGCAGUUAGGAGACGUGAAGAAAGGAUAGACAGCAAAGUUGUCUGUGUGAAGCAAUUGGAGGGCAAGUUUGGUGCCAGCAGCCGCGG
RNAcentral lists this ribosomal RNA (398 nucleotides) under uncultured Microsporidia. Its description in RNAcentral is "SSU rRNA". It matches the Rfam family "Microsporidia small subunit ribosomal RNA", at positions 1 to 405 of the family's 1311-position model. Lineage: Eukaryota; Fungi; Microsporidia. The record is from RNAcentral.